GCCGUGAUCACCUGCAACUGGUGCAUCGCCUGCUUCGCGGAUGUCCGCGCUGCGUUCGCUGCACGCUCCGCUUGUUGCAACUGCAGAUUCUCACCAUCCACUGCCACGUGGGCGUCCCGCGAUUGCUGCUCCAGGCCCUGCACCACGAUCUGCUUGCCAGCGAGCGCAGCUGCUGCGGUGGCAGCCGAUUGAGCUGCAGCCUGUGCCAACGUGUUUUUCGCAACAUACGCAGCCUGGCCGGCCGCGGACUCCUGGUUGCUCAAUUGUGUGUGAGCCUGUUCCGCUGCACCUUUCGCGAUGCCGGCCAGCGGCCCGCCCACGCUGUAGCCUGGUUUCGUGGGACCUCGAGGGGAGCUAAUCGCGACUGCUGAUAAGCCUGGUUCCGGGUCCAAAUACGCUGCCGAGUCGGCCAGGCCUAGCGAAGACUCAUGUUGGGCAUACCCAUAGUCGUAACCACCCAGUUGAGGAUCAAGCACUUGCUUCUUCGCGGGACCACCGUGUGCUAGGCAAAGACAGCCCAGUAGCAGGAAAAGUUUCUUCAUUGUUGAGGUCUUCGGAAUAUAGUCCAGUAUCAGGUCAACGGCUUCUGUAAAGAGAAAUGACUGGUGAAUUUGGUUUCGUUCUAAACAAGAAACAUUGAUGGUACAACAUGAUUCUGCAAUCGUGCAGCUUGACGCUGUUAUGUGAAUGCAUAGUACGGGUGUGACCAUAACAUUAGGAAAAAUUCGCCUUGACCUGCUAUCUACUGUCGCUUCACCUUGAAUAUGGUGAACGGUAAAUCAUAUACUUAAUUACAUCGUGGAUGUAAAUCAUAAUGAAUUUAUAAGGGAAACAAUUACAUACAAACACAAGAUUCUAUGGAUGUAUUGAAUAAAAAUGUGACACGAAGUGUAUGCAAACUAAA
Molecule: non-coding RNA, 904 nt
Organism: Megalopta genalis
Lineage: Eukaryota; Metazoa; Arthropoda; Insecta; Hymenoptera; Halictidae
Source: RefSeq, a predicted model, not a curated record